ACGGGUGAGUAAUGCCUAGGAAUCUGCCUGGUAGUGGGGGACAACGUUUCGAAAGGAACGCUAAUACCGCAUACGUCCUACGGGAGAAAGCAGGGGACCUUCGGGCCUUGCGCUAUCAGAUGAGCCUAGGUCGGAUUAGCUAGUUGGUGAGGUAAUGGCUCACCAAGGCGACGAUCCAUAACUGGUCUGAGAGGAUGAUCAGUCACACUGGAACUGAGACACGGUCCAGACUCCUACGGGAGGCAGCAGUGGGGAAUAUUGGACAAUGGGCGAAAGCCUGAUCCAGCCAUGCCGCGUGUGUGAAGAAGGUCUUCGGAUUGUAAAGCACUUUAAGUUGGGAGGAAGGGUUGUAGAUUAAUACUCUGCAAUUUUGACGUUACCGACAGAAUAAGCACCGGCUAACUCUGUGCCAGCAGCCGCGGUAAUACAGAGGGUGCAAGCGUUAAUCGGAAUUACUGGGCGUAAAGCGCGCGUAGGUGGUUCGUUAAGUUGGAUGUGAAAUCCCCGGGCUCAACCUGGGAACUGCAUUCAAAACUGUCGAGCUAGAGUAUGGUAGAGGGUGGUGGAAUUUCCUGUGUAGCGGUG
This 585-nucleotide ribosomal RNA is filed under the name uncultured Pseudomonas sp. Its description in RNAcentral is "bacterial SSU rRNA". It matches the Rfam family "Bacterial small subunit ribosomal RNA", at positions 102 to 683 of the family's 1533-position model. The record is from RNAcentral. Lineage: Bacteria; Pseudomonadati; Pseudomonadota; Gammaproteobacteria; Pseudomonadales; Pseudomonadaceae.